AGGACGAACGCUGGCGGCGUGCUUAACACAUGCAAGUCGAGCGGAAAGGCCCUUCGGGGUACUCGAGCGGCGAACGGGUGAGUAACACGUGGGCAACCUGCCCUUAGCUCUGGGAUAGCUCCGGGAAACCGGAAUUAAUACCGGAUAUGACCUAGGCCGACAUCGGCCGUGGUGGAAAGUUUUUCGGCUAGGGAUGGACUCGCGGCCUAUCAGCUAGUUGGUGGGGUAAUGGCCUACCAAGGCGACGACGGGUAGCCGGCCUGAGAGGGCGACCGGCCACACUGGGACUGAGACACGGCCCAGACUCCUACGGGAGGCAGCAGUGGGGAAUCUUGCGCAAUGGGCGAAAGCCUGAUCCAGCCAUGCCGCGUGAGUGAUGACGGCCUUAGGGUUGUAAAGCUCUUUCAUCAGGGACGAUAAUGACGGUACCUGAAGAAGAAGCCCGGCUAACUUCGCGCCAGCAGCCGC
Molecule: ribosomal RNA, 468 nt
Filed under: uncultured bacterium
Lineage: Bacteria
Description: SSU rRNA
Rfam family: Bacterial small subunit ribosomal RNA
Source: RNAcentral